AUGAAAUCUGUAGCAGAAAACAUAGGGCUGAGAUCUCUCCAAGGUAUUGCCCCACUCUCCCACAAUCUCUGUUCCUUGUAUUUGAGAAUUCACAAGGUCCCUUGAACUCACUUCUCUUCAACAGAUACAUGUUUAUGGCUGUCUGAGUCUCCAAUUCCUGCCACAAGACUCUUUCUUUUCUGAGUAAAGGUAUGAGAAUAAUUAGAUUUAUUUUUAUGAAGCUGCAAUAAUUAGAUUUAAUUAAAGCCAGUAGAAUUAAUUUCUCCUUUGGAUUUAGGAGCAUCUUGUUGAGCUGAGGUAUGCACGGGAAGUAAAAGCACUCAAGUAAACGUCCAUAUUAAAAAGCUAUUAGAAGAAGCAGGCUUUUCAAAAUUUGAUCUGGAACAAUUGAAGGUAAGGCUUGUCUGUGUUCUUUCUCUGCGCCUUUAACUUCUGAAGGACUCUAAAAUGUUACUUGCUCAACAUGGAACAACAGCAAUAGUUCAUUAGCAUUUUCUUUUUCUGUAAAAAAGAAUCUUGCCUUGAAUUGCAAAUUAGAUUUUAUUGGUAUUAAGCUUGAUAAAUUCUGAUAAUUCUGUCACUUUGUUUCUCACCGGGCCUGGUCCUUAUCGGUAUCCAAGAGCAUGCUGAUCACAACUUAUGUCUGUCUAGUCUCAAAUGCUGAUUUAUUAGUCACUCUGCACGAUAACAUGCCUUCUCAUAAACAGUUCUCAUUUGCAGGUUUCUUUCAUGUCACAGCCCGAGGAGAGUUUACCGUUGUAUAUAGAUUUUUGUUUUUCUACAAACAAAUUGUGCAAACAAAGGGGAAGGAAAUCUUCUCCAGGUGGCGAUCUAG
RNAcentral lists this long non-coding RNA (835 nucleotides) under Prunus dulcis (almond). The record is from RNAcentral. Lineage: Eukaryota; Viridiplantae; Streptophyta; Magnoliopsida; Rosales; Rosaceae.